UGGCAAUAGGAUAUGUGAGACCCAGUGU
This 28-nucleotide non-coding RNA is filed under the name Mus musculus (house mouse). The record is from RNAcentral. Lineage: Eukaryota; Metazoa; Chordata; Mammalia; Rodentia; Muridae.